UUUUCGCGGCCGGGCCCCAGCAUGGCUGCCCCCACGGCUGAGGGCCUGGCAGCUGCUGCGCCCUCGCUUUCUUGACAUUCCCUGGCUUCUGUGCUCUCUUCCCCAGGCCACCCCAGCAGACAUGUUUGCCAAGGCCUUUCGGGUCAAGUCCAACACGGCCAUCAAGGGGUCGGACAGGAGAAAGCUUCGAGCUGAUGUGACAACUACUUUCCCCACCCUUGGAACUGAUCAAGUCUCUGAGUUAGUACCUGGAAAGGAGGAGCUCAACAUUGUGAAGUUGUAUGCUCACAAAGGGGAUGCAGUGACUGUGUACGUGAGUGGUGGUAACCCCAUCCUCUUUGAACUGGAGAAAAAUCUGUAUCCAACAGUGUACACGCUGUGGUCCUAUCCUGAUCUUCUGCCAACCUUUACAACAUGGCCUCUGGUGCUCGAGAAACUGGUAGGGGGAGCAGAUUUGAUGCUGCCUGGACUGGUGAUGCCCCCUGCUGGUCUGCCUCAGAGCCCCUGUAGCCAUUGGAGUUGCAGCCAUGUCCACAGCUGAGAUGCUCACGUCAGGCCUGAAGGGAAGGGGCUUCUCUGUGCUCCACACUUACCAGGACCACUUGUGGUGGGUACAGAGUUUCUUCUGUUUUACAGAGAACUGGGGCAGCUGGGGAGAGGAUGGGGCCUGUGAUUCAGGAGUGAGAGUUUUGGUCCUAGCCAUGUCUUUAAGCAAGUUGCUAAGCCCAGACUUUUAUUUCCUUACAAAUAUGAAGAAAAUAUUUUUUUCCCCUGUUUGGACAAGUAAUGAGAGAGAACUUUAUUUUCUAAGUGAAUUAUAGAAUCUUAGACCCAAAGGAAGACCUUAGGGAUCGUCUGCUCUGCCUCUCAGUACAGUGAUACUCGUUUUUUUAUAGCCCUGGUCAAUCUGGCCCUAGCUGCGAUGCACAUUUUAGACAUCAUGUGACCCCAUGAUGAGUGCUUCUGAAUCCAAAUCACCGCAGGGUAGACCUUUAGACUCCAGGAUUAUAACCUGAUUACUUUUAUGUUAUUCAGAUUUCACAUUCCAGACUCCUCCUCCUCAUGAAAGUAACGCAUUCUGACUGUAAAGGUUGCAUUCUUGAGACGCGUACCUGUUCAUUUUCUGGUUAUUUUCUUGUCAUUUUAGCAAAACAGUAAGCAGUGAUUUUCUCAAAACACACAUUUAGCCAAGUAUUGUGGCCUGUUGGUAUAGAUUCAUUCUUAUAUUUUCCAGCCCAGUCUUGGAAUUAUUAAUUUUUUUUUUUUUUUUUU
This 1272-nucleotide small RNA is filed under the name Pan troglodytes (chimpanzee). Its description in RNAcentral is "retained intron". Lineage: Eukaryota; Metazoa; Chordata; Mammalia; Primates; Hominidae. The record is from RNAcentral.